Molecule: unclassified non-coding RNA, 345 nt
Filed under: soil metagenome
Description: partial contains 5.8S ribosomal RNA, internal transcribed spacer 2, and large subunit ribosomal RNA
Rfam family: 5.8S ribosomal RNA (bases 1-121)
Source: RNAcentral
GAUGAAGAACGUAGCGAAAUGCGAUAAGUAAUGCGAAUUGCAGAAUUUCCGUGAGUCAUCGAAUCUUUGAACGCACAUUGCGCCCCCUGGUAUUCCGGGGGGCAUGCCUGUCCGAGCGUCAUUACUGCCCUCAAGCGCGGCUUGUGUGUUGGGCCCUCGUCCCCCCCGGGGGACGUGCCCGAAAGGCAGUGGCGGCGCCGUGCCCGGACCUCGAGCGUAUGGGGCUUUGUCACCCGCUCUGGAGACCCGGCCGGCGGCCGUCGGACCACCCCAACCUUUUUAACCGGUUGACCUCGGAUCAGGCAGGGAUACCCGCUGAACUUAAGCAUAUCAAUAAGCGGAGGA